UGGUGCUGCUUAUAUAGGCCUAGGGGA
RNAcentral lists this non-coding RNA (27 nucleotides) under Mus musculus (house mouse). The record is from RNAcentral. Lineage: Eukaryota; Metazoa; Chordata; Mammalia; Rodentia; Muridae.